CUAUCCAUAUGUAGCUGUUGACACUACCAUGUAUCAGGUCGUGUCCUUGGUGUUUUGUCAAGACGAUACCCUCGACUCUGCUAGGUGGCAUCGCUGAUGUGUAGGGGAAGAGGUGACGAUGCCAAUAAGCGCCUGUGCGUUUCACCGACUUUUAGCCUGUCCCUAAGUAAACCAGCGCCCCUUUCCAAAGUUGAAAGGAAUAUAUCCUGACGCUUCCCAGUCCCAGACCCAUGAUCCAGGGAAGAAAAAUGAAAAAAGAAAAUACAGCAGUGCUCGUAGCACUUAAAACAGUCGCUGGUGAUGUUGAUGUUAACCUGGUUGUAGUCAACUAUGGUCGUCAGUUUUCCUUAGAUAAAAGAGUCCAAGUUAGACAAGCCUACCUUGUAAGAGUCAGAUCAAGUUAUAGAUUGAAUUAGUGUUUAAACCGGAUUCUGUAAUGUUAUAAACAGAUGACGGGUGGCGUCGUGUUGGAUUCCAAUUAGGAUUCGUGUUGGGCGCGGUCUUAAUCUUGUAAGCCUUCUAUAUAAAUCAAUGAAAGGG
RNAcentral lists this long non-coding RNA (540 nucleotides) under Brachypodium distachyon (stiff brome). RNAcentral's name for it is "long non-coding RNA (BDIS_LNC002334)". The record is from RNAcentral. Lineage: Eukaryota; Viridiplantae; Streptophyta; Magnoliopsida; Poales; Poaceae.